AGUGAACGCUGGCGGCGUGCUUAACACAUGCAAGUCGAACGAGAACGGAAUAUAGCUUGCUAUAUUUGUCAGCUAAGUGGCGCACGGGUGAGUAAUGUAUAGAUAACCUGCCCUUAAGAAAGGAAUAACAGUUGGAAACGACUGCUAAUGCCCUAUAUGCCUUUAAUACAUAAGUAUGCAAGGGAAACGCUUUAGUGCUUAAGGAUGGGUCUGUAUGGUAUCAGCUUGUUGGUGAGGUAAUGGCUCACCAAGGCUAUGACGCCUAACUGGUUUGGGCGGAUGACCAGUCACACUGGAACUGGGACACGGUCCAGACUCCUACGGGAGGCAGCAGUGGGGAAUAUUGCACAAUGGACGAAAGUCUGAUGCAGCAACGCCGCGUGGAGGAUGACACAUUUCGGUGCGUAAACUCCUUUUAUAUAGGAAGAUAAUGACGGUACUAUAUGAAUAAGCACCGGCUAACUCCGUGCCAGCCGCCGCCGUAA
This 485-nucleotide ribosomal RNA is filed under the name uncultured bacterium. Its description in RNAcentral is "partial 16S ribosomal RNA". It matches the Rfam family "Bacterial small subunit ribosomal RNA", at positions 29 to 523 of the family's 1533-position model. The record is from RNAcentral.